Molecule: RNA transcript, 2873 nt
Organism: Brienomyrus brachyistius
Lineage: Eukaryota; Metazoa; Chordata; Actinopteri; Osteoglossiformes; Mormyridae
Gene: ankdd1b
Gene name: ankyrin repeat and death domain containing 1B
Exons: 16
Source: RefSeq, a predicted model, not a curated record
AACCACAGAGUAGUGUGCUUGCAGUGAGUCACAAUGGACAAAGCUUUGGCUUUCAAAGAUCGAAUUCUGAACAAGGAAAACCUGAAUCCCAAAACCUGGAUAAAAGCAGAGAAUAUUAAAGGUUUUAAAGACUUUAUACUGCAGAAAGAAUCAGAAGAGACAGAUGGACAAAAUUUUGAUGAUGAAAAUAUGCUGCUGGAUUCCGAAAAGGCUUAUAUGGAAGCUGCAAAGAAGAAUGAUGUACACACAAUGAAGCUCCUUGGCAAGAGUGUCAAUGUCAAUGCAAAGAAUGUCCACGAUCGAACCGCACUACACUACGCUGUGGCUGGGAAAAACCAGGAAGCGGUGGAACUCUUGCUUCAGAGAAGAGCCAAGUUAGAUGUACAAGACAAGCAUGGAGUGACCGCAGCUCACUUGGCUGCCUGGUUUGGGAGUCUGGCUAUUCUUAAGCUGCUUAUACAGGCUGGGGCCGACCAGAAAACUGAGAACCAGGAAGGAAUGACCAUUAUGCAUUGUGCUGCCAUCAAUAAUCACACCGACAUUGUGACAUACAUUGUAAAUGACUUGCAGAUGAAAGAACUGGAUAAAGAGGACCAGUCAGGGAAGCGGGCUUUCUCCCGCGCAGCUGAGCAUGGCUGCGUGCCGAUGAUGGAGUUGCUGCUGGAGGAGCCGUUCAGUAUGGCCACCAUGCAGGAAGAUCAGAACGGCAACACCCCUUUGCACCUUGCAGCAAAAAAUGGACACCUGAAUGCUAUUCAGCUCCUACUUCAGAAUUUUGACAACCGCAAUGAGGUCAAUAAGGCAGGAGAGACAUCACUGUACCUGGCUGCAAACGGUGCUUAUGAGGACUGUGUCCAAGCACUGUUAGAAGCUGACUGUGACCCUAAUAUCGUUACUACCGCUAAGAAUGCCGCUUUGCAUCCCGUGGCAGAAAAGGGGUACACGUCCCUGGUCAAGCUCCUCACGGAUAAUGGUGCCGACAUGAAUUUGCAGAAUCAGCAUCUACAGGCUCCCUUUCACCUGGCAGUGAAGAACUGCCAUAUUCCUGUCAUCCACACACUCCUGAAGGCCGGCUGUGACACUGACGUCACCGACCAUAGGGGACAAACCGCACUUCAUAUUGCAGCAGAGCUGGGAAAGACUGAUGUUGUGGAGAUGAUUCUGAAAGCUGAUACAGACCUAUCUCUCCGGGACAAGCAAGAAAAGACGCCGCUGGGAGUGGCAGCCAGGGGCAACAUGGUCAUCAUUGUGGAUAUGAUCAUUAAAGCAGAAAGAUAUUUUGCGUGGAAAAAGGCAAAUGUGGAAUUUAAUGAAACCCUUCACAACGACUUUCCACUGACAUUCAAAUUAGACCACAGUGCAGAAACCAAGCAGAUCCGUGCUACCAUCUGGAAUUUGGGCUACCACCUGCUGAAACCAAAUGACUGGAAGAAACUUGCACAGCACUGGGAUUUCACUGGCCCACAGAUUGCAGCCAUAGAAGAGCAGUGGACAGGCCUGAAGAGCUACCAGGAACAUGGCAACCGGAUGAUGUUGAUUUGGCUACAUGGAGUCUGUAUGACAGGCAAGAAUGCAACCAAAGAGCUUCAUGAGAGUCUACUUUCUACAGGAUACACAAGUAUCGCAGACAAAAUAAGGGCAGACACAAAUGGGAAGGAGACGAGAAAAUGUUCGGUCUCAUAACAUCAACAACAUAUGACAGCAUAGACCACCUGACGCCAACACCAGUCAUAUGGGAUUUUCUGGAUUUGCUUCAAUAGCAGCAUUUGUUUUUCAGGGAAAAUAUCUGAUCAUUAAAAUAUGCAAAACACUACCAAAAAGCCCUGUUUAGGGCAUUUGUUUAUAAUCAGCUUUGAGAUUAAUUAUUACAAUCAGCAAAUUGGACAAAAGUCCAACUGACCUCUGAGCAACUGGCUGAGAACCUGGAUUUAAUACGUCAGUUGGCAGAAGUGGACACUGACCCCCCUUCAUUGGUGCACCCCUAACCCACCAUUCAAUUCUAUGUUUGUCAUUGUAAGCACAAUAUUAAGAAGAUACUUUUGUACUAGUGAUGUAGUAAGUUACUACCUCAGUAUUUUCUAUGUUUCACUCCUUAGCCUUAUCUCUGACGCAGUGUGAGAAAAAAUGUUGUUGUGAAAUGGCCAACAGGAAUGAAAUUAAGUACCAAGAGAAGACCAAACAGCUCUUCUAGUUUAAACUAUAUUUCUGAAUCAUUAUAAAGUAUGGUUAUAUACAUUUUUUAUGAUUUGCCUCACACAACUAUAUCUGUAAGCAUAGUGGUGGCAAUGUCAUUGAUAAUCAUGCAGCAGACAUGUCUGAUGUAGAAUAUAGUAUGUAAUAGAGUAAAAUCCCGUUACAGUGGACUCAUUUAUAACGGAAUAUCGUCUAUAACGGACGAGGUCCGAUGAUCCCAGCCGUGCGCUUUUAAGAACAUGCAGAAAAAGCAUGUUACUGUAUAUAGCGGACUCGCGUAUAACGGAAUUUCGCUUAUAACGGACAAACAAUUUGGUCCCCUGGGCUGCUUUUAGCUGUAGUUUUGUUCGCUAUAAUGGACUUGCAGGCUCCGCCUACAAGGCGCGUGGCAUGCCGGUGAUAUCCAGCUGUAGUUUUGUUCGCUAUAACGGACAUGCAGGAAAAGAUGUCUGAAAAUGCUGGUUUUAUUGUUUCACAGUAUAUGGGGAAAAAGAAAAUAGUGGUUAACUACACACAUACAUGAAGUGAUUUUAUUAUCUUUAUAUUUAAGAUCUGAUGUAAAUGCAGGCAUUUUUGUUGUUGAUUAAAAAAGUUGUGCUAGUUGCUUUUAUUCCAGCGUUUUUGAUUCUUUGCCACAGUAUAUUCACUAAGGAAAAUAUCAACCCAUUUUAUUUUAAUAU